GGGGUGAAAUGCCAAUCGAACCAGGAGCUAGCUGGUUCUCCCCGAAAUGUGUUUAGGCGCAGCGGUAAUGAUUAAAUCUGGGGGGUAAAGCACUGUUUCGGUGCGGGCUGGGAGACCGGUACCAAAUCGAGACAAACUCAGAAUACCCAGAGAACACAUUGCCAGUGAGACAGUGGGGGAUAAGCUUCAUUGUCAAGAGGGAAACAGCCCAGACCACCAGCUAAGGUCCCCAAAUCAUCACUAAGUGAUAAAGGAGGUGGGAUUGCAUAGACAACUAGGAGGUUUGCCUAGAAGCAGCCAACCUUAAAAGAGUGCGUAAUAGCUCACUAGUCAAGCGAUCCUGCGCCGAAAAUGAACGGGGCUAAGUGAUGUACCGAAGCUGUGGGAUUAAUCUAGUAUUAAUCGGUAGGGGAGCGUUCCGUAAUAGGUAGAAGCAGUAGCGGCGAGCAGCUGUGGACGAAACGGAAGUGAGAAUGUCGGCUUGAGUAGCGCAAACAUUGGUGAGAAUCCAAUGCCCCGAAACCCUAAGGGUUCCUCCGCCAGGUUCGUCCACGGAGGGUUAGUCGGGUCCUAAGGCGAGGUCGAAGGGCGUAGUCGAUGGACACAGGGUGAAUAAUCCCUGACUACUAUGUGGGAGCAUUGCGAGGGACGCAUGAAAGAUAGCCAUACCCUGAUUGGUUUGGGAGGAGUUUACGAACUCCGCGUGGUGAAGGAUAGUGUCAAGAAAAGCUCGUAAUGUGAUGAAAACAUAGUACCCGUACCCGAAACCGACACAGGUAGGGAGGUUGAGAAUACCAAGGGGCGCGAGAUAACUCUCUCUAAGGAACUCGGCAAAAUGGCCCCGUAACUUCGGGAGAAGGGGUGCCCACCUCAGACGUGGGUCGCAGUGAAGAGAUCCAGGCGACUGUUUACCAAAAACACAGGUCUCCGCCAACUCGAAAGAGGACGUAUGGGGGCUGACGCCUGCCCAGUGCCGGAAGGUUAAGGAAGUUGGUCAGGGGUUCGCCUUGAAGCUGACGACCGAAGCCCCGGUGAACGGCGGCCGUAACUAUAACGGUCCUAAGGUAGCGAAAUUCCUUGUCGGGUAAGUUCCGACCCGCACGAAAGGCGUAACGAUCUGGAUGGUGUCUCAGAGAGAGACUCGGCGAAAUAGGAAUGUCUGUGAAGAUACGGACUGCCUGCACCUGGACAGAAAGACCCUAUGAAGCUUUACUGUAGCCUGGAAUUGUGUUCGGGCUUCGCUUGCGCAGGAUAGGUGGGAAGCGAAGAAGUAUCCCUUGUGGGGGAUAUGGAGCUAACGGUGAGAUACCACUCUGGCGAAGCUAGAAUUCUAACCCAUGACCGUAAGCCGGUCAGGGAACAGUUUCAGGUGGGCAGUUUGACUGGGGCGGUCGCCUCCUAAAAAGUAACGGAGGCGCGCAAAGGUUCUCUCAGCACGCUUGGAAACCGUGCGGCGAGUGUAAAGGCAAAAGAGAGCUUGACUGCGAGAGAUACAACUCAAGCAGGGACGAAAGUCGGCCUUAGUGAUCCGACGGCACAGCAUGGAAUGGCCGUCGCUCAACGGAUAAAAGUUACUCUAGGGAUAACAGGCUGAUCUCCCCCAAGAGUCCACAUCGACGGGGAGGUUUGGCACCUCGAUGUCGGCUCAUCGCAACCUGGGGCGGAAGUACGUCCCAAGGGUUGGGCUGUUCGCCCAUUAAAGCGGUACGUGAGCUGGGUUCAGAACGUCGUGAGACAGUUCGGUCCAUAUCCGGUGCAGGCGCAAGAGCAUUGAGAGGAGCCUUCCUUAGUACGAGAGGACCGGGAAGGACGCACCGCUGGUGUACCAGUUAUCGUACCAACGGUAAACGCUGGGUAGCCAAGUGCGGAGCGGAUAACCGCUGAAAGCAUCUAAGUGGGAAGCCCACCUCAAGAUGAGUGCUCUCACUACAUAAGUAGGUAAGGUCACGGGCAGAA
RNAcentral lists this ribosomal RNA (1956 nucleotides) under Nodularia spumigena CCY9414. RNAcentral's name for it is "bacterial LSU rRNA". It matches the Rfam family "Bacterial large subunit ribosomal RNA", at positions 818 to 2845 of the family's 2925-position model. Lineage: Bacteria; Bacillati; Cyanobacteriota; Cyanophyceae; Nostocales; Nodulariaceae. The record is from RNAcentral.